AGUGAACGCUGGCGGUAGGCCUAACACAUGCAAGUCGAACGGCAGCACAGUAAGAGCUUGCUCUUACGGGUGGCGAGUGGCGGACGGGUGAGGAAUACAUCGGAAUCUACUUUUUCGUGGGGGAUAACGUAGGGAAACUUACGCUAAUACCGCAUACGACCUACGGGUGAAAGCAGGGGAUCUUCGGACCUUGCGCGAUUGAAUGAGCCGAUGUCGGUUUAGCUAGUUGGCGGGGUAAAGGCCCACCAAGGCGACGAUCCGUAGCUGGUCUGAGAGGAUGAUCAGCCACACUGGAACUGAGACACGGGCCAGACUCCUACGGGAGGCAGCAGUGGGGAAUAUUGGACGAUGGGCGCAAGCCUGAUCCAGCCAUACCGCGUGGGUGAAGAAGGCCUUCGGGUUGUAAAGCCCUUUUGUUGGGAAAGAAAAGCAGCAGGUUAAUACCACGCUGUUCUGACGGUACCCAAAGAAUAAGCACCGGCUAACUUCGUG
Molecule: ribosomal RNA, 492 nt
Filed under: uncultured bacterium
Lineage: Bacteria
Description: partial 16S ribosomal RNA
Rfam family: Bacterial small subunit ribosomal RNA
Source: RNAcentral